GCCCUGGUGGCCCAAUUGGCAGAGGCAGUCGGCUCAAACCCGGCACGGUGUGGGUUCGAGUCCCACCCAGGGCACCA
This 77-nucleotide transfer RNA is filed under the name Bifidobacteriaceae bacterium. Its description in RNAcentral is "tRNA-Leu". It matches the Rfam family "tRNA". From Rfam's summary of the family: Transfer RNA (tRNA) molecules are approximately 80 nucleotides in length. Their secondary structure includes four short double-helical elements and three loops (D, anti-codon, and T loops). The record is from RNAcentral. Lineage: Bacteria; Bacillati; Actinomycetota; Actinomycetes; Bifidobacteriales; Bifidobacteriaceae.